Molecule: microRNA, 21 nt
Filed under: Sorghum bicolor (sorghum)
Lineage: Eukaryota; Viridiplantae; Streptophyta; Magnoliopsida; Poales; Poaceae
Description: sbi-miR5568c-3p
Source: miRBase by way of RNAcentral
ACUUACAGUUUGGAACGGAGG